RNAcentral lists this long non-coding RNA (987 nucleotides) under Marmota monax (woodchuck). Lineage: Eukaryota; Metazoa; Chordata; Mammalia; Rodentia; Sciuridae. The record is from RNAcentral.
CAGCAUGGGAGUCAGGUACCAGGACUAACCCCGGAGCUUCCCAGCCCUGUGACAGGGAAGCUGGGGACAGGCGCGUCAGCCUCCCGUGAAAGGACACAGCCCGGGAGCCCAAGGUAAACGCCCCCGGAGCAGCCAGGGUCUCAGGGACACAGCCGGCCCUCCUCUCCACAGGUCCCACAGCCAGCACCUCAGUCACUUAUACAAAAUGACAUGUUUGCACAGACCUACCCACGCCAGCGUCCACCUUACAGCGACCUAGGUGACACGCAAUGCCCAACGCAAUGUCAGCGCCAUGUGAAUCGCUGUUCAACUGUGUCGUUCAGGGCACAAAACAGGGACGACGUCUACCUCUGUGUUCACUUCAACCACCCAGGCCUGGCUGCGCUCAGCCGUGGACUGUCGGGUCUGGGGUGCAGAGCCGCAGGCAGAGAGCCGACCGUGCUCAUGGGACCGGCCCACGCCACCACAGAGGCUGACGCCCCGGAGCUGCAGGGCAGGUGGCGUGCGGGACUCAGACAGGGCUAGGGCGGAAUCCCUCUUGCUGGGAAGCCUCUGAGGGCUUUGGGCAACUGAGUGAGGACCCCCAAACAACAGGACGCAACUUUCCUUAACGCCGACUGACCGCAGGUGUCAGCAGCAUCUACAAAAUGCCUUCCCAGCGACACCCUGACUAGUGUUAUUUACCUGGGUGCCACAGUCCGACCGCAGUGACCUGUGAAACUGACCGUCAUACCUGCCAGUUUCCCUGUCUUGUUGGCCAAGCCCAAGGACGGCCAGAGGCGGAGGGGUUCCAGCCCAUCUGUCCCAGCCGCAGGAUGGGAGGAGGUACCCAGGGCAAGAAGACCUCGGCCCAGACGGGGGUCCAGGGUGCCCGGUGGCCCUCUGCAGGCAGACCCAGGAGGGCUUCUCAGAGCCUGGCCACUGGCCCCCCGCUGGAGAGACCCCACCUGGCAGGGGCCUUCUCCUCCCCCAGUGCUGCCUAACGUG